CCCUUAGAUGUUCUGGGCCGCACACGCGCUACACUGAAGGAGGCAGCGUGUACUCCUGGAUCGAAAGAUUUGGGUAACCCGCGAAUCUCCUUCGUGCUAGGGAUUGAGGUUUGCAAUUAUCCUUCAUGAACGAGGAAUUCCCAGUAAGUGCAAGUCAUAAGCUUGCGCUGACUACGUCCCUGCCCUUUGUACACACCGCCCGUCGCUACUACCGAUUGAAUGAUUUAGUGAGGACUUCGGACUGGGACCGAUGCGGCUUUCGGGCUGCGUCGGUAUUCUGGAAAGAUGUCCAAACUGUAUCAUUUAGAGGAAGUAAAAGNCGUAACA
This 327-nucleotide ribosomal RNA is filed under the name uncultured eukaryote. RNAcentral describes it as "partial 18S ribosomal RNA". It matches the Rfam family "Eukaryotic small subunit ribosomal RNA", at positions 1470 to 1796 of the family's 1831-position model. The record is from RNAcentral.